UUGAAAGGGAAACGAUUGAAGUCAGUCGUACUUGCGGGUAAUCAGCCUUUUGGGUGUGAUUCUGUGGAGCGUGGGGAGUUAAACGCCUUCAUGCCUGCGUAUUCGUGCACUUUGGGUGUACUUGCCCGUGUGGUAGGUUAACAUCAAUUUUGAUCAUCAUAAAAUGGCUGGAGGAAUGUAGCUUCGAUCUCGUAUUGAAGUGUUAUAGCCUUCGGCAGAUGUGAUGAUCGGGAUUGAGGAUUGCCACGGAUACCCUUCGGGGCUACCUGUCUGAUCUCUGAUUGUUGCUCUGGUGCCGAAAGCGUGCUUACGGUUAUCAAAGUCGAUGGUCAACAGGUUAGCACGGGUUAAAUUCGUUAAGGAUGUUGACGUA
This 373-nucleotide ribosomal RNA is filed under the name uncultured Glomeromycotina. Its description in RNAcentral is "eukaryotic LSU rRNA". The record is from RNAcentral. Lineage: Eukaryota; Fungi; Glomeromycota.